AGAAUCAACGCUGGCGGCGCGCUUAACACAUGCAAGUCGAGCGAGAAAGGGGAGCAAUCCCUGAGUAAAGCGGCGUACGGGUGAGUAACACGUGGGUAAUCUACCUUUUAGUGUGGAAUAACCCUGGGAAACCGGGCUAAUACCGCAUAAGCCUGAGAAGGGAAAGCAGCAAUGCGCUGAAAGAGGAGCCCGCGGCCGAUUAGCUAGUUGGUGGGUAACGCCCACAAGGCGAUGAUCGGUAGCCGGCCUGAGAGGGCACACGGCCACACUGGCACUGAAACACGGGCCAGACUCCUACGGGAGGCAGCAGUGGGGAAUCUUGCACAAUGGAGGCAACUCUGAUGCAGCGACGCCGCGUGAGCGAUGAAGCCCCUCGGGGUGUAAAGCUCUUUCGGCAGGGACGAUAAUGACGGUACCUGAAGAAGAAGCUGCGGCUAACUACGCGCCAGCAGCCGC
This 456-nucleotide ribosomal RNA is filed under the name uncultured bacterium. Its description in RNAcentral is "SSU rRNA". It matches the Rfam family "Bacterial small subunit ribosomal RNA", at positions 26 to 518 of the family's 1533-position model. The record is from RNAcentral.